This 75-nucleotide transfer RNA is filed under the name Candidatus Woesebacteria bacterium RBG_13_46_13. RNAcentral's name for it is "tRNA-Ile". It matches the Rfam family "tRNA". Rfam says of the family: Transfer RNA (tRNA) molecules are approximately 80 nucleotides in length. Their secondary structure includes four short double-helical elements and three loops (D, anti-codon, and T loops). The record is from RNAcentral. Lineage: Bacteria; Candidatus Woeseibacteriota.
GGGCGAUUGGUUCAGCGGUAGAACGCUUUCCUGAUAAGAAAGAGGUGGAUGGUUCGACUCCAUCAUCGCCCACCC